Molecule: ribosomal RNA, 433 nt
Filed under: uncultured bacterium
Lineage: Bacteria
Description: partial 16S ribosomal RNA
Rfam family: Bacterial small subunit ribosomal RNA
Source: RNAcentral
AGCGAACGCUGGCGGCAGGCCUAACACAUGCAAGUCGAACGAACUCUUCGGAGUUAGUGGCGGACGGGUGAGUAACACGUGGGAACGUGCCUUUAGGUUCGGAAUAACUCAGGGAAACUUGUGCUAAUACCGAAUGUGCCCUUCGGGGGAAAGAUUUAUCGCCUUUAGAGCGGCCCGCGUCUGAUUAGCUAGUUGGUGAGGUAAAGGCUCACCAAGGCGACGAUCAGUGGCUGGUCUGAGAGGAUGAUCAGCCACAUUGGGACUGAGACACGGCCCAAACUCCUACGGGAGGCAGCAGUGGGGAAUCUUGCGCAAUGGGCGAAAGCCUGACGCAGCCAUGCCGCGUGAAUGAUGAAGGUCUUAGGAUUGUAAAAUUCUUUCACCGGGGACGAUAAUGACGGUACCCGGAGAAGAGGCCCCGGCUAACUUCGUG